GAGCAAUUGAAAGAUAAUCGUACUGGAAGUACUCUUUCAUCAAUUUCAAACAUUUCAUCAGGGUUAGAAGAUUUUAGUGAAGAACUGACAGCACAAACCAGUAGUUUAUCUGGAUUAAGUUUAGGAACAGUAUUGCCAGUGGUCAAUGAUGCAUUUGCUUUACUAAAUCAAUCACCUAUU
Long non-coding RNA from Cotesia glomerata, 180 nucleotides. RefSeq lists it as uncharacterized. The record is from RefSeq and is a predicted model, not a curated record. The transcript is spliced from 2 exons. NCBI's taxonomy places the organism in Eukaryota, Metazoa, Arthropoda, Insecta, Hymenoptera, Braconidae.